GCGAAGUAGCUGAUUUCACACUGUCAAGAAAAGUCUCUAUCGAGGUUAAAGGUACCCGUACCGCAAACCGACACAGGUGGGUGAGGAGAGUAUCCUAAGGCUAGCGAGAGAACUGUUGUUAAGGAACGCGGCAAAAUGACCCCGUAACUUAGGGAUAAGGGGUGCCACCAUCAGGUGGCCGCAGAGAAUAGGCCCAAGCGACUGUUUACCAAAAACAUAGGUUUCUGCU
RNAcentral lists this ribosomal RNA (229 nucleotides) under Clostridioides difficile. Its description in RNAcentral is "partial 23S ribosomal RNA". It matches the Rfam family "Bacterial large subunit ribosomal RNA", at positions 1585 to 1827 of the family's 2925-position model. Lineage: Bacteria; Bacillati; Bacillota; Clostridia; Peptostreptococcales; Peptostreptococcaceae. The record is from RNAcentral.